This 253-nucleotide ribosomal RNA is filed under the name uncultured bacterium. RNAcentral's name for it is "partial 16S ribosomal RNA". It matches the Rfam family "Bacterial small subunit ribosomal RNA", at positions 524 to 776 of the family's 1533-position model. The record is from RNAcentral.
GACGUAGGGCGCGAGCGUUGUCCGGAUUCAUUGGGCGUAAAGGGUGCGUAGGCGGCGCGGUAAGUCGGGUGUGAAAUCUUGGAGCUUAACUCCGAAACUGCAUUCGAUACUGCCGUGCUUGAGGACUGGAGAGGAGACUGGAAUUUACGGUGUAGCGGUGAAAUGCGUAGAUAUCGUAAGGAAGACCAGUGGCGAAGGCGGGUCUCUGGACAGUUCCUGACGCUGAGGCACGAAGGUCAGGGGAGCAAACGGG